AUAAGACACAAAAUUAGAAUACAAGUGAGAUUGACGGAAGAAAGAGAGCACAUGCUGCCAGACAGUCAUUGCUAUGUAUCUACAUGUUCUUGCAGUGCGUGCUCUCUUUUUUUCUGUCAAUCUCCAGUUUAUCCUUCAUUUUUUGUCUUUGUUUUCUCAUUCUUAGUUUCCCUUUUAAUCGAUUGGAAAAGGGAUGGAAUAAUCUAUAUAGUUCUUCUUUUUCAGGAUCUAACGAUGCCAUGCCUGCCUAAUAGCCCUGUUUCCUCUUAAUUAGUUCUGUAAUCUGUUAUCUUGAGUAUAUUAACUUUCACUUUAAGGAUGACAGCAGUGAUUAUGAUCUAUCUGCACAUCAGGUAAAUGGGACUCAUUUUAGGGUUUCAUUACUAGCUUAAUUCUAUGAA
This is a non-coding RNA of Arachis ipaensis, 401 nucleotides long. NCBI's taxonomy places the organism in Eukaryota, Viridiplantae, Streptophyta, Magnoliopsida, Fabales, Fabaceae. The record is from RefSeq and is a predicted model, not a curated record.